This 497-nucleotide ribosomal RNA is filed under the name uncultured bacterium. RNAcentral's name for it is "partial 16S ribosomal RNA". It matches the Rfam family "Bacterial small subunit ribosomal RNA", at positions 28 to 507 of the family's 1533-position model. The record is from RNAcentral.
GAUGAACGCUGGCGGCGUGCCUAAUACAUGCAAGUCGAGCGAACAGACGAGGAGCUUGUUCCUCUGAUGUUAGCGGCGGACGGGUGAGUAACACGUGGAUAACCUACCUAUAAGACUGGGAUAACUUCGGGAAACCGGAGCUAAUACCGGAUAACAUGUUAAACCGCAUGGUUCAACAGUGAAAGACGGUCUUGCUGUCACUUAUAGAUGGAUCCGCGCCGCAUUAGCUAGUUGGUAAGGUAACGGCUUACCAAGGCAACGAUGCGUAGCCGACCUGAGAGGGUGAUCGGUCACCCUGGAGCUGAGACACAGGCCGAACUCCUACGUGAGGCAGCAGUAGGGAAUCUUCCGCAAUGGGCGAAAGCCUGACGGAGCAACGCCGCGGGAGUGAAGAAGGUCUUCGGGUCGUAAAACUCUGUUAUUAGGGAAGAACAAAUGUGUAAGUAACUAUGCACGUCUUGACGGUACCUAAUCAGAAAGCCACGGCUAACUACGUG